GCAACAAGAGCCACUCAACUAGCCAAUAUGACUACCCAUGAGACCCCACACCAAGGCUAAUUAAACCUUAAGCGAGGAUACAGACACAAGCAAGUCAUCCUUGGCUAUCAGAGGUAAGGCCCUUGC
RNAcentral lists this microRNA precursor (126 nucleotides) under Triticum aestivum (bread wheat). Lineage: Eukaryota; Viridiplantae; Streptophyta; Magnoliopsida; Poales; Poaceae. RNAcentral also lists the same sequence under 1 other name. The record is from RNAcentral.